This 467-nucleotide ribosomal RNA is filed under the name uncultured bacterium. Its description in RNAcentral is "partial 16S ribosomal RNA". It matches the Rfam family "Bacterial small subunit ribosomal RNA", at positions 29 to 507 of the family's 1533-position model. The record is from RNAcentral.
ACGAACGCUGGCGGCGUGCUUAACACCUGCAAGUCGAACGGAAAGGCCCUGCUUUUGUGGGGUGCUCGAGUGGCGAACGGGUGAGUAACACGUGAGUAACCUGCCCUUGACUUUGGGAUAACUUCAGGAAACUGGGGCUAAUACCGGAUAGGAGCUCCUGCUGCAUGGUGGGGGUUGGAAAGUUUCGGCGGUUGGGGAUGGACUCGCGGCUUAUCAGCUUGUUGGUGGGGUAGUGGCUUACCAAGGCUUUGACGGGUAGCCGGCCUGAGAGGGUGACCGGCCACAUUGGGACUGAGAUACGGCCCAGACUCCUACGGGACGCAGCAGUGGGGAAUAUUGCACAAUGGGCGGAAGCCUGAUGCAGCAACGCCGCGUGCGGGAUGACGGCCUUCGGGUUGUAAACCGCUUUCGCCUGUGACGAAGCGUGAGUGACGGUAAUGGGUAAAGAAGCACCGGCUAACUACGUG